AUUGAACGCUGGCGGAAUGCUUUACACAUGCAAGUCGAGCGGCAGCGCGGGGGCAACCCUGGCGGCGAGCGGCGAACGGGUGAGUAACAUAUCGGAACGUACCCAGUCGUGGGGGGAUAACUAUCCGAAAGGAUAGCUAAUACCGCAUACGUCCUGAGGGAGAAAGCGGGGGAUCGCGAAGACCUCGCGCGAUUGGAGCGGCCGAUAUCGGAUUAGCUAGUUGGUGGGGUAAAGGCUCACCAAGGCGACGAUCCGUAGCGGGUCUGAGAGGACGACCCGCCACACUGGAACUGAGACACGGGUCCAGACUCCUACGGGAGGCAGCAGUGGGGAAUUUUGGACAAUGGGGGCAACCCUGAUCCAGCCAUUCCGCGUGAGUGAA
RNAcentral lists this ribosomal RNA (382 nucleotides) under uncultured bacterium. RNAcentral describes it as "bacterial SSU rRNA". It matches the Rfam family "Bacterial small subunit ribosomal RNA", at positions 29 to 409 of the family's 1533-position model. The record is from RNAcentral.